This is a long non-coding RNA of Papaver somniferum (opium poppy), 938 nucleotides long. RefSeq lists it as uncharacterized. NCBI's taxonomy places the organism in Eukaryota, Viridiplantae, Streptophyta, Magnoliopsida, Ranunculales, Papaveraceae. The record is from RefSeq and is a predicted model, not a curated record. The transcript is spliced from 2 exons.
UCCUCCUCUCGGCUCCGUUUUGUUCCUAUCACCAGCAAUACCGUCCUUCACCAUUAUCACCACCAGCAAAACCCUCAUCCACCAUUAUCACCGCCAGCAAAACCAUCACCACCAAUUUUAUAAGAAGCUGCUGGUGCUCCCGAUCUGCUUGCUGACGGAGUUAGGGUUUGGAUUUGAAGUGAUAUUUAGGGAUUGAGCUCAAUUUGAGAACAACAAGAAAGAAAACAGCGGUCCUGUUGUAUAUGAGCAAUUGGGUGCUGAUGGCUUGUCAAAGGUGCAGUCGUGAAUUGAGCAGUGGAUGGAAGAGAUUAGACAUGGGUUUCUGCUAUAAAUGGGUUUGAAUGGUUUACAUGGUCGACGGUGGUGAAUGAAUGGGAUUGAGUUGGUGGUACUGUUGAUGUCAAGAAAUGAAGAAAGUGGAUAAUUUGGAGUGGGAUUUGGAGUUGAGAUAAUGAUUAUUAAGGUGGCGGAUGCAGCUAAUGCAUGAAUCAGUGGUAAUGAUUGUUGUUAGUUGGAAGAAGAAGAAAAUAGUGGUGUUCAAAUUAGUUGCAGAUGCAGUGUUGGUACUUGGUAAUGUUAAGUACUGCUGAUGUACAUGGAAUAGGAGCAUGAUGCAGUGGUUUGGGAACAAGCAGCAACACUGUUAAAUGAGUCUAGCAAAUGAAGCUAAAAACAAAUUGUUAAUAAUUUUGAAGCUAAGUAGAAUAAUGGCUUGAAGAUGUUAAUGCUGAUAGAUGAAUGGAAUGGUUUGAGUUCUUUGAGUUGAUGCAGCAGGAGCAUCAGUUGGUGGUGCAGUGGUGUUAAUUGUUAGUUAGUUGAUUUUAACCUAGCAUUGAGUUUUAAGAAUGUGAAUUUGGGUUUUGGAUAAUUUUUUGAUUUGUGUUUAUUACUUUCACUUUGUUCCUUCGUUUAGUUGAUUGGGUUAUGUUUGAUUUUUC